RNAcentral lists this ribosomal RNA (254 nucleotides) under uncultured bacterium. RNAcentral describes it as "partial 16S ribosomal RNA". It matches the Rfam family "Bacterial small subunit ribosomal RNA", at positions 524 to 776 of the family's 1533-position model. The record is from RNAcentral.
CACGUAGGGGGCGAGCGUUGUCCGGAUUUAUUGGGCGUAAAGAGCUCGUAGGCGGCUCAGUAAGUCAGGUGUGAAAACUCCAGGCUCAACCUGGAGACGCCACUUGAUACUGCUGUGGCUAGAGUCCGGUAGGGGAGCAUGGAAUUCCUGGUGUAGCGGUGAAAUGCGCAGAUAUCAGGAGGAACACCAGUGGCGAAGGCGGUGCUCUGGGCCGGAACUGACGCUGAGGUGCGAAAGCGUGGGGAGCGAACAGG